AGUGAACGCUGGCGGUAGGCCUAACACAUGCAAGUCGAACGGCAGCACAGUAAGAGCUUGCUCUUACGGGUGGCGAGUGGCGGACGGGGGAGGAAUACAUCGGAAUCUACUUUUUCGUGGGGGAGAACGCAGGGAAACUUACGCUAAUACCGCAUACGACCUACGGGUGAAAGCAUGGGAUCUUCGGACCUUGCGCGAUUGAAUGAGCCGAUGUCGGAUUAGCUAGUUGGCGGGGUAAAGGCCACCAAGGCGACGAUCCGUAGCUGGUCUGAGAGGAUGAUCAGCCACACUGGAACUGAGACACGGUCCAGACUCCUACGGGAGGCAGCAGUGGGGAAUAUUGGACAAUGGGCGCAAGCCUGAUCCAGCCAUACCGCGUGGGUGAAGAAGGCCUUCGGGUUGUAAAGCCCUUUUGUUGGGAAAGAAAAGCAGCAGGUUAAUACCCCGCUGUUCUGACGUUACCCAAAGAAUAAGCACCGGCUAACUUCGUG
Molecule: ribosomal RNA, 491 nt
Filed under: uncultured bacterium
Lineage: Bacteria
Description: partial 16S ribosomal RNA
Rfam family: Bacterial small subunit ribosomal RNA
Source: RNAcentral